UACGAAGGGGGCUAGCGUUGUUCGGAAUUACUGGGCGUAAAGCGCACGUAGGCGGUCUUUUAAGUCGGGGGUGAAAUCCUGGAGCUCAACUCCAGAACUGCCUUCGAUACUGGAAGACUUGAGUCCGGGAGAGGUGAGUGGAACUGCGAGUGUAGAGGUGAAAUUCGUAGAUAUUCGCAAGAACACCAGCGGCGAAGGCGGCUCACUGGCCCGGUACUGACGCUGAGGUGCGAAAGCGUGGGGAGCAAACAGG
RNAcentral lists this ribosomal RNA (253 nucleotides) under uncultured bacterium. Its description in RNAcentral is "partial 16S ribosomal RNA". It matches the Rfam family "Bacterial small subunit ribosomal RNA", at positions 524 to 776 of the family's 1533-position model. The record is from RNAcentral.